This is a non-coding RNA of Oryctolagus cuniculus (rabbit), 5094 nucleotides long. The record is from RefSeq and is a predicted model, not a curated record. Lineage: Eukaryota; Metazoa; Chordata; Mammalia; Lagomorpha; Leporidae.
GUGACCUGGGCUUGGAAGACGGAGCUGUUGUCAGCAAGGCAGGCUGAGAGUGACCUGGGCUGGGUGUCUGGUGCAGUGAGGAGGAUGCUGUUUUGUACGCCACCUUUCCAUGCUGUGCCGAGUUCAAGGCCUGGCUGUAGUCCCAGCUGCAGCUUCUGCACACCUUGGGUGGCAACCGGUGAUGGCUCAGAUGCUUGGACCCCUACCACACAAGUGGGAGCCCCAUGUUGAAUCCCCAGUUCCUGCUUCCAGGCUUUGGCCUGGCCCAUGGCUUGUUCUUGUGGGCACUGGGUGAUUGAACCAGCGGAUGAGAGCUGUGUCUGUCCCUCUCAAAUAAAAAAAUAAAAUAAAAUUUAGAAAAAGAACCACCAGCUUGUCUGUCAUCACCGCUGGGGAACGGCCUGUGCGGUGUGCUGGGGUGCAGGGGUUCAGGGGAGGCUCACUCCAGGACAGAGGUCCCCGCACUUGGUGUGGGGUCCCCUUCCUGUUACCUUGUUCUGGUGUGUGCGGGGCUGAAGGAGAUCUCCACUCUCCUGGUUGUGGCUUUGGCACUUGGUGCAGUGUCUGACAAUGUCAGCCCUUGAUACUAUGCCUGUAGUUCCCCCUGUGAGAUGGGUUCCCGUGUUUUGUGUAUUUGGAUGUUUCAUUUCCCUUCUCUGCGUCACUGCUCUGUGUAGACUGGCCAUGUGGACUGGGUUGCUUUCGCCCUGUUGCCUGAUGCUGUCAUUGAGGCCACGCUUUCCAUUUUCAGAGAAUGAAUAUGAGACUCAACAAUGCAAGCAGUCAGCGCCUGUUUCGUUUAUGACAAAGGAGUGUCUACAGCAGCAAGGGGACCAGGGACAGAUGACUCUUUUUCUUGCAGCCUUGAAUUUGAUUCAGAAAUGUCAAUUGGAUAAUUGUGUGUGAAGGUGUGACGUUGGCUCCUUGGGAGGGUACAGGUGUGAAUAAGAUGGCCAUGCUCCCUGUGGGCGUGUUGAGUACCAGGAAGAGGAGGGGCAGCUUGUCCAUUAGAAUUUUAUGUAAACGCCAGGCAGACUUGUGUCCUGUGUGGGGGCCUCGGUGCUAAAGGAAGUACAGUCAGACCGGACGACCAUGGCUUCUGUACCUAACUGCUUGCGGAAUGCAGGUGGAGGAGUUUGUCUUCUGUGGUUUUACCCUGUUUUUCCCUAAAUAAUACAGUUAUUUGAAUUGUACUUCUGUGUUAGGUGUUACAAAUAUUAAACCAUAUAGGAGGAAGUGUGUAGGAACUAUCUUAAUAUGCCAUUUUUUAAAAAAGAUUGAUUUCUCUAUAUGAAAGGCAGAGUUACAGAGAGGCAGAGGCAGAGGCAGAGAGGUCUUCUGUCUGCUGGUUCAUUCCGCAAAUGGCUGCAACAGCUGGGGCUCAGAAUCCGGAGCCAGGACCCUGGAGCUUCUUUCAGGUCUCCCACGUGGGUACAGGGGCCCAAUGACUUGGGCCAUCCUCCACUGCUUUCCUGGGUGCAUUAGCAGGGAGCUGGAGUGUAAGUGGUGUAGCCGGACUUGAACUGGCACCCGUAUGAGAUGCCAGCACUGUAGGCAGAAGCUUAACCCACUACGUCCUAGCACUACCCCCAAUACCAUGCCAAUUUUAAAGAUUUAUUUAUUUAUUUGAAAAACAGAGAUUGUUGAUCAGUCUUCCAUCUGUUGGUUCACUCACCAGAUAGCUACAAUGGCCAGGCAGAAGUCUGGAGCCAGGAACUGCAUCUGGGCCUCCCACUUUGGUGGCAAUGGCCCAAUCAUUUUCUGCUGCCCUCCCAGGCAUAUUAGCAGGGAGUUGGAUCAGAAGUGGAACAGCUGGGACUCGAUCCUGUUCUCUGAUCGGGAUGCUUGUUUCACAGGUGGCAAUUCAACCCACUGUGCCAAACACUGGUCCCAACCAUGCCAUUUUAUGUAAGGGCUUGAGCGUCUGUGGAUUUUGGUGUCUGCAGGGCAUCCUGGACCUGAUGCCGCAUGGAUGCUGAAGGAAAGCUGCCUAAGAUCUGUUCAGAACACACAGGAGAGGGGGAGGUGAAGCCGGGUGUGCAUGGAGACCCUCAGGUGAUUGCUGUUGCAAGGCACUCUGGCCUUCAUUCUGGGCAGGGGGACCCUGUGCAGGUUUCUGUGUAAGGAAGCACACGGGCACAAGAGAUUCUGAAAAUCGGGAGACUGGCGUUCAGGAGACUAUGGGAGGAGAUGUGUAGGUGGUGGGACCUGGGCCUGCGGCUUUGAGUGGAAAGUGUGGGCUCCAUUCAUUUUGUUCAUUGACUUCUGUGGAUGCGAGUAGAAAGGAAUCGAAGGUAAUGUGGCAGUCUUUCCCUACUGAACAGAAGACGGAGGUGCAGUCAGUCAAGAUGCAGGGUUAGGAGAAGGGGUAGACUGGGCUGUGAACAGGGACAGAGACGGACUUCACAGUGGCUUGUGUGGCCACAGCCAUGAGGCACGUGUUGGUCUUGGAGAUGCCUGGAGGAUCUGCUAGGGUAUGAAGCAGACUGGACACCUGCACCAGGUGCUUUUGUUCUACUCCGGGGUUGAGGAGCGAGGUGAGAGCUGGGGGUGCUGCUGUGGGUUGCUUCAACCCAGAAGUUGUAUUUCUGAGAGCCUGGUCUGGAAGUGCAGAUCCCAGGAACUUUCCUGUUCACAUUCCAGGAAGCAGGAGGGAGAGAGGGGUGAAAGGUUGCACCUGUCCACUGUGUGGCCAGAAGCUCCUCUCCUUGGCCAUCUCAGUGUGUCGGGCUGGGAAGUAUCUCUGUGUGUGUGUGUGUGUGUGUGUGUGUGUGUUCAGUCUGGGCCUGUUACCAUCUCCCUUGAUAGAGUGGUCUUGAAUAAGGAAGGAAGGCGUAGUAGGGACUAAGUGAAGAGCAGCAGUCUUUGCCACAGAAGCUCAACCUGAAAUUCCAGAUGUAGGUGCUAGUGUUCCCAGAGGGUGUAGAGGGCAGAGUCGUGGGAGAAUGCAGCAGGUGUAGGUGCCAGUGUUCCUGGACGGUGUAGCGGGCAGAGUCGUGGGAGAAGGCAGCAGGUGUAGGUGCCAGUGUUCCCGGAGGGUGUAGCGGGCAGAGUCGUGGGAGAGUGCAGCAGGUGUAGGUGCCAGUGUUCCCGGAGGGUGUAGAGGGCAGAGUUGUGGGAGAGUGCAGCAGGUGUAGGUGCCAGUGUUCCCGGAGGGUGUAGAGGGCAGAGUCGUGGGAGAGUGCAGCAGGUGUAGGUGCCAGUGUUCCCGGAGGGUGUAGAGGGCAGAGUCGUGGGAGAGUGCAGCAGGUGUAGGUGCUAGUGUUCCCGGAGGGUGUAGAGGGCAGAGUCGUGGGAGAAGGCAGCAGGUGUAGGUGCCAGUGUUCCCGGAGGGUGUAGAGGGCGGAGUCGUGGGAGCAUGCAGCAGGUGUAGGUGCCAGUGUUCCCGGAGGGUGUAGAGGGCAGAGUCGUGGGAGAAGGCAGCAGGUGUAGGUGCCAGUGUUCCCGGAGGGUGUAGAGGGCAGAGUCGUGGGAGCAUGCAGCAGGUGUAGGUGCCAGUGUUCCCGGAGGGUGUAGAGGGCAGAGUCGUGGGAGCAUGCAGCAGGUGUAGGUGCCAGUGUUCCCGGAGGGUGUAGAGGGCAGAGUCGUGGGAGAAGGCAGCAGGUGUAGGUGCCAGUGUUCCCGGAGGGUGUAGAGGGCAGAGUCGUGGGAGAAGGCAGCAGGUGUAGGUGCCAGUGUUCCCGGAGGGUGUAGAGGGCAGAGUCGUGGGAGAGUGCAGCAGGUGUAGGUGCCAGUGUUCCCGGAGGGUGUAGAGGGCAGAGUCGUGGGAGAGUGCAGCAGGUGUAGGUGCUAGUGUUCCCGGAGGGUGUAGAGGGCAGAGUCGUGGGAGAAGGCAGCAGGUGUAGGUGCCAGUGUUCCCGGAGGGUGUAGAGGGCGGAGUCGUGGGAGCAUGCAGCAGGUGUAGGUGCCAGUGUUCCCGGAGGGUGUAGAGGGCAGAGUCGUGGGAGAAGGCAGCAGGUGUAGGUGCCAGUGUUCCCGGAGGGUGUAGAGGGCAGAGUCGUGGGAGCAUGCAGCAGGUGUAGGUGCCAGUGUUCCCGGAGGGUGUAGAGGGCAGAGUCGUGGGAGCAUGCAGCAGGUGUAGGUGCCAGUGUUCCCGGAGGGUGUAGAGGGCAGAGUUGUGGGAGCAGGCAGCAGGUGUAGGUGCCAGUGUUCCCGGAGGGUGUAGCGGGCAGAGUCGUGGGAGAAGGCAGCAGGUGUAGGUGGAAGGGCUGUGGGCAAGUGCCGAUGGCAGGAUCCUUGGCACAUGUGGGAGGCUGGGUGAGGCGGGGGAUGUCCAGCUGUAGCUAGGAUGUGGUUCUUUAUUGGGACAUGAAAGCCCUUCCCCAGUGCUCGUGUUAGACUGGUGUAUAACUUGGGCCGGUCUCUAAGCCUCAGUUCUGUCUGGGACUCCCGGCACAAGAUCAUCGGGAGGAGUUGUAAAGGUGGCUGCCAUGUGGUUAGCCUGGUCUUGCAUACUUGGGUGUGUGUCCGUCCCAGCUGAUGUCGUCACUUCGUGCAGGAGGAGCAGGGACAUGGACUUCGGUGGUCUGUGAGAGGAGGAGGUGGCGGUGAACAGAGUGUCUGUGACUGAGAAGGUUGGGUUGAGGGCUGCUUCUGGGGAGGGGAUGAAGGGGUCCCGCGGCCCUGAGCGCGGAAGGAAGAAGCCGGACGAGUUCCGCACUUGAGGAGCAGUGGGAGCGCUCGGGUGCAGGGCUGGGCAGCAGCCUGAGGUCAGGUCUGUGGCCCUCGUCUCACAGAGGGGCAUGGCAGAUGGCUGUUUCCCUUCCGAAUCUGACUGCGUGUGACCCGCGUGUCCCCCACGACUGAUGGAGUAAAAUCCAGACGCUUUGAGUUGUGAGGCUUCCUUGUGGGCACCAGCAGCAUUCAAAGAAUUGGGCCGAGUCUGAAUUCAGACAGAUGUUCUAGAAGGAUCUCUGAGUGUUACAAAGCUUAACACUUCAGUUGCUGUCUGUUUCAGCACGGUAAACUGCUUUGAGCACAAGUUGGGGGAAGUCCCGUAGAGUUUCUUGUAACAGAUCUGCCUUCAUAGGGAAAGCCAAAUUGACAUACAAACUAAUGAGCUCUUCCCAUACGUUUUCCUUUCUUGUUUUUUUU